CUGCAUCAGUCGCUCAUUUCAUCCAUCACAACCACUCAGUUUUUUUCUCUUUUACUUUCUCAUUCUCUCUCUCUCUCUUAUUCUCAGGUUUCCCAUAGCGGCAUGUCCAGAAAUAAAGUUCUUGAGGAGAAUGUCUCUGUUACUAUAGUGCUUCAGGAGAAAUCCGAGUGUCACAACAGAUCAGAAACAAACCAGAGAGUGGCUGCGUGACAUUUGACAUGCUGGCAUGACGCUUGUUACAUCCCAGCGAGGGAGAAGGAACCCACUUAAAUGGAGUGCAGCGCCAAAGAUGUGAACAAGAAAUGCCACUAUUGCAUUUCUUGUAACUUCUCUGCCCAAACCUGCUAAAGUGAUGCACUGUGGAGCCCGCAAGAUGUUUUACACCCCAUAAAUCCUGGAUAUUUGGACAGUUAGCCCGCUGCUGUAUCCUGCAGGGAGCCUGAUUCUUGGUGCACUGUCUCCUCCCGCCUCUACUGACCCUCCACAUUGUAAAUCAGUGCGCCGCUCACUGCAGAAGCCCUCUCUGCUUUAGCCUGUCAUAUUGAAGCUUUACUCUGGCUGGCUAGGGGACUCCUUUCUUCUCCCUCGGCAAACACCGGGUUAGACUCAUAUCAUGUUUCAAGCCAUUACCAGCAAAGCCGAGCCCCGGGAAGGCAAUGAGAGGAGAGCGGUCGGGGGAAUGGAAAGGAGAGGGCCGGAGGAACAGCCAUCCAUCACUCCUUGGCCCCCUGGUCCUCUCACUGCCACUCCACCAAAACACUCACCAGUGAGGACAGGAUGGAGGCAGAAACCUGCCACGCCCAGGUGGGGGUCAGAGCAACCAGACAGAGGAGAGAGCAGACAGGAAUGGAGAGAUGAGAGGAGAGAGAGAGGGGGGGAGCAAGACAGCAAGUCUGGUGGAUUUUAUGUCAUUAGAGCCUUGUGUGACAGCUUCAUCUCCCCCAGCAACAGGCAAAGAGAAAAAUGAAUAUGGGAUGAUGGGUGGUGUCAAUGACGAAGACGCAGAAAAGAUGAGGAGAGGAAAAGAAAGAAAUUAAAGAGCAAGACAAAAAAAAAACAACAACUAGCAAAAAGAGGCAGAGGCAGACAAAGAGACAGGCAGUCAACCCUAAUUGGCACAUUUUGGAUUAAAAUCAGCCCUUUUUCUCAGUGUCAUAAACUCAAACCAGAAACGUCCAUAAAUCCAUUAACAGACCUUCUCAGAAACUGUUUUCUUCUGCUGCUGAUCCUGUUGUUAUCUGUACAUUUAUGGUUAUAGUGAAAACAGGUAGUGGCUAA
Molecule: long non-coding RNA, 1278 nt
Organism: Thunnus maccoyii (southern bluefin tuna)
Lineage: Eukaryota; Metazoa; Chordata; Actinopteri; Scombriformes; Scombridae
Exons: 5
Source: RefSeq, a predicted model, not a curated record